This 85-nucleotide transfer RNA is filed under the name Felis catus (domestic cat). It matches the Rfam family "tRNA". Rfam says of the family: Transfer RNA (tRNA) molecules are approximately 80 nucleotides in length. Their secondary structure includes four short double-helical elements and three loops (D, anti-codon, and T loops). Lineage: Eukaryota; Metazoa; Chordata; Mammalia; Carnivora; Felidae. The record is from Rfam by way of RNAcentral. RNAcentral also lists the same sequence under 2 other names.
GCCUGGGUGGCUCAGUUGGUUGAGCGUCCGACUUCAGCUCAGGUCACGAUCUCACGGUUCGUGAGUUCGAGCCCCAUGUCAGGCU